AAAAGAAACCAACAGGGAUUGCCUCAGUAACGGCGAGUGAAGCGGCAACAGCUCAAAUUUGAAAUCUGGCCCUAGGCCCGAGUUGUAAUUUGCAGAGGAUGCUUUUGGUGCGGUGCCUUCCAAGUUCCCUAGAACGGGACGCCAGAGAGGGUGAGAGCCCCGUACAGUUGGACACCAAGCCUUUGUAAAGCUCCUUCGACGAGUCGAGUAGUUUGGGAAUGCUGCUCAAAAUGGGAGGUAUAUUUCUUCUAAAGCUAAAUACCGGCCAGAGACCGAUAGCGCACAAGUAGAGUGAUCGAAAGAUGAAAAGCACUUUGAAAAGAGGGUUAAACAGCACGUGAAAUUGUUAAAAGGGAAGCGCUUGUGACCAGACUUGCGUCCGGUGAAUCACCCAGCUCUCGCGGCUGGGGCACUUCGCCGGCUCAGGCCAGCAUCAGCUCGCUGUCGGGGACAAAAGCUUCAGGAACGUAGCUCUCUUCGGGGAGUGUUAUAGCCUGUUGCAUAAUACCCUUCGGCGGGCUGAGGUACGCGCUCCGCAAGGAUGCUGGCAUAAUGGUCAUCAGCGACCCGUCUUGAAACACGGACCAAGGAGUCAACCUUAUGUGCGAGUGUUCGGGUGUCAAACCCCUACGCGUAAUGAAAGUGAACGCAGGUGAGAGCUUCGGCGCAUCAUCGACCGAUCCUGAUGUUCUCGGAUGGAUUUGAGUAAGAGCAUAUAGGGUUGGACCCGAAAGAAGGUGAACUAUGCGUGUAUAGGGUGAAGCCAGAGGAAACUCUGGUGGAGGCUCGCAGCGGUUCUGACGUGCAAAUCGAUCGUCAAAUAUGCGCAUGGGGGCGAAAGACUAAUCGAAC
This 852-nucleotide ribosomal RNA is filed under the name Colletotrichum sp. MEP1525. RNAcentral's name for it is "eukaryotic LSU rRNA". It matches the Rfam family "Eukaryotic large subunit ribosomal RNA", at positions 57 to 940 of the family's 3401-position model. Lineage: Eukaryota; Fungi; Ascomycota; Sordariomycetes; Glomerellales; Glomerellaceae. The record is from RNAcentral.